RNAcentral lists this transfer RNA (78 nucleotides) under Deltaproteobacteria bacterium. RNAcentral's name for it is "tRNA-Arg". It matches the Rfam family "tRNA". Rfam says of the family: Transfer RNA (tRNA) molecules are approximately 80 nucleotides in length. Their secondary structure includes four short double-helical elements and three loops (D, anti-codon, and T loops). Further hydrogen bonds mediate the characteristic L-shaped molecular structure. tRNAs have two regions of fundamental functional importance: the anti-codon, which is responsible for specific mRNA codon recognition, and the 3' end, to which the tRNAs corresponding amino acid is attached (by aminoacyl-tRNA synthetases). tRNAs cope with the degeneracy of the genetic code in two manners: having more than one tRNA (with a specific anti-codon) for a particular amino acid; and 'wobble' base-pairing, i.e. permitting non-standard base-pairing at the 3rd anti-codon position. The record is from RNAcentral. Lineage: Bacteria; Pseudomonadati; Myxococcota; Myxococcia.
GCGCUCGUAGCUCAGUUGGAUCAGAGCGCCUGAUUACGAAUCAGGAGGUCGCACGUUCAAGUCGUGCCGAGUGCGCCA